RNAcentral lists this ribosomal RNA (253 nucleotides) under uncultured bacterium. RNAcentral describes it as "partial 16S ribosomal RNA". It matches the Rfam family "Bacterial small subunit ribosomal RNA", at positions 524 to 776 of the family's 1533-position model. The record is from RNAcentral.
UACAGAGGUCCCGAGCGUUAGGCGGAAUCACUGGGCUUAAAGCGUGUGUAGGUGGAUCGUUAAGUACCUUGUGAAAUCCCACGGCUUAACCGUGGAACUGCUUGGUAUACUGGCGGUCUUGAGCCACUUAGGGGUUACCGGAACAAAUGGGGGAGCGGUGAAAUGCGUAGAUAUCAUUUGGAACGCCAAUGGUGAAAACAGGUAACUGGGAGUGUGCUGACACUGAGACACGAAAGCCAGGGGAGCAAACGGG